GCAUAAGUGCUAGCUUUAGCUAUGCAUAUACUACAACUAGGAAGAUACAGAGAAGACUAGCACGACUCCUAAGCAAGGAUGACCUGAAAAUUCAUGAAGAAUUCCAUAAAUUU
Molecule: small nuclear RNA, 113 nt
Organism: Marmota marmota marmota (Alpine marmot)
Lineage: Eukaryota; Metazoa; Chordata; Mammalia; Rodentia; Sciuridae
Source: Ensembl